Long non-coding RNA from Helianthus annuus (common sunflower), 1034 nucleotides. RefSeq lists it as uncharacterized. The record is from RefSeq and is a predicted model, not a curated record. The transcript has 4 exons. NCBI's taxonomy places the organism in Eukaryota, Viridiplantae, Streptophyta, Magnoliopsida, Asterales, Asteraceae.
AAUAUAGUUAUUAUUAAUAAUGAUUUGUAAUCGAUCUUAGCCUUUAAUUCAAUUAGUUAAUGCUCAGGAUCUGUUCUUACUGUUUUUAGAUUAAAUAAGGUUUGUAUGGGAUCUUAACUCCUUGUGCUAAAUUAGAGUUACUAACAAAUAUCUUCAAACUUUUACCAUAAGAUGCCUUGGAUCAGGAACCAACAUCUUUGUUUUCAAAUGUAUAUAUCUGUUUGCAUUCGAUUUCGAAGGUGUCAUGUGUGUUUCAGGAUACCCAUUUACCAGGGGCGGAUCCAAGGGUUUAUUUGGGCUUCCCGGGAACCCCUUUCGCUUUGGAAAAAAUUAGUGGAAAACUUUUUGAUUUGAAAAAAUCGUUGAGAAUCUACCAAAAGGAACCCAGUGGAAAAAAUUCAUGGAUCUGCCAUUGCCCAAACACGUUCCACUACAUAUCCACUCUUUUACCCGAACCAUUGCGUCAACACAUAUUCAACUAGCUAGAUGUUUUUCACCAACUUUAUCCCCUGUAUUAAGCUGGAUUUUUGGAUGGGGCUCACAUAGUUUAAACAAUUGUGAUAUAAAUUCUAUUUUGAGCAAAAUGGAGGGACUAAAACCGAAGUUUACUAUUUAGUAUGAGCAGGAAAUAACGAACUUGUUAUCUCCAAAACUCACAGUUAUAGCACCAGAAGAUUGUGAUGUUUGUCUCAAUGAGCCUGAUCAGCAGAGUGAGAGUGACUCAAAGCUGUUGCGUUUAUUGUUCUGUCUCUUCUUCGACACUGUUAACAAGGUGGUGGUUGUAUUGUACUUAUGUUCUUACACGCGUGAAACUGAUGAGGAAAUGAGGUAUGAAAGAGGAGAAGAAACAGUGGUUCACACAGGGGACGGUGAGUAUUAUACGAUCAAAAAGAAGAAGUGAUUUUGGUAGAUAGAUUUUGGAAAUACCAUACUGCUAACAUUGCUAUGAGAUAAGAUCCACUCUUAGGGAAUGGCUGUGAUCAAAAAAAGAUGUGAUUUUUGUUAGAUAUAUCUUUGAAAUACCAUACUGUUAA